RNAcentral lists this ribosomal RNA (419 nucleotides) under uncultured Gammaproteobacteria bacterium. RNAcentral describes it as "bacterial SSU rRNA". It matches the Rfam family "Bacterial small subunit ribosomal RNA", at positions 499 to 917 of the family's 1533-position model. Lineage: Bacteria; Pseudomonadati; Pseudomonadota; Gammaproteobacteria. The record is from RNAcentral.
AACGGCAUGCCCGCAGGAGCGGUAAUACAGAGGGUGCGAGCGUUAAUCGGAAUUCCUGGGCGUUUAGCGUGCGUAGGCGGUUUAUUAAGUCAGAUGUGAAAGCCCCGGGCUUAACCUGGGAACUGCAUUUGAAACUGGUCAACUAGAGUAUGGUAGAGGAAAGUGGAAUUUCUGGUGUAGCGGUGAAAUGCGUAGAUAUCAGAAGGAACAUCAAUGGCGAAGGCAGCUUUCUGGACCAAUACUGACGCUGAGGUACGAAAGCGUGGGUAGCAAACAGGAUUAGAUACCCUGGUAGUCCACGCCGUAAACGAUGAUAACUAGCCGUUGGGGGGAUUUACCCUUUAGUGGCGAAGCUAACGCGUUAAGUUAUCCGCCUGGGGAGUACGGCCGCAAGGUUAAAACUCAAAGGAAUUGACGGA